CAUGGGGGAAACCCUGAUGCAGCGACGCCGCGUGAAGGAAGAAGUAUCUCGGUAUGUAAACUUCUAUCAGCAGGGNAAGAUAGUGACGGUACCUGNACUAAGAAGCCCCGGCUAACUACGUGCCAGCAGCCGCGGUAAUACGUAGGGGGCAAGCGUUAUCCGGAUUUACUGGGUGUAAAGGGAGCGUAGACGGUGUGGCAAGUCUGAUGUGAAAGGCAUGGGCUCAACCUGUGGACUGCAUUGGAAACUGUCAUACUUGAGUGCCGGAGGGGUAAGCGGAAUUCCUAGUGUAGCGGUGAAAUGCGUAGAUAUUAGGAGGAACACCAGUGGCGAAGGCGGCUUACUGGACGGUAACUGACGUUGAGGCUCGAAAGCGUGGGGAGCAAACAGGAUUAGAUACCCUGGUAGUCCAAGGGCGAAUUC
RNAcentral lists this ribosomal RNA (423 nucleotides) under uncultured bacterium. Its description in RNAcentral is "SSU rRNA". It matches the Rfam family "Bacterial small subunit ribosomal RNA", at positions 370 to 808 of the family's 1533-position model. The record is from RNAcentral.